ACCGUGGAAUGGCUCGGCAGACUGCCAAUCUUGAACCCGGCAGGGGUCGUCGGAACGGUAGGUGGAGCGGUGAAAUGUGUAGAUAUCUACCGGAACGCCAAUGGCGAAGGCAGGCGACUGGGCCGGCGUUGACGCUCAGGCACGAAAGCGUGGGGAGCGAACGGGAUUAGAUACCCCGGUAGUCCACGCCGUAAACGAUGUGCACUAGAUGGGGGAGGUUUUGACGCCAUCCCCGCCGAAGCCAAAGUGUUAAGUGCACCGCCUGGGGAGUACGGUCGCAAGACUAAAACUCAAAGGAAUUGACGGGGGCUCACACAAGCGGUGGAGCAUGUGGCUUAAUUCGAAGCAACGCGAAGAACCUUAUCCUGGGUUUGACAUGCACGGAUUAGCUUCCUGAAAGGGAAGUAACACGGUCUCCGUGGAACGUGCACAGGUGCUGCAUGGCUGUCGUCAGCUCGUGCUGUGAAGUGUCGGGUUAAGUCCCUUAACGAGCGAAACCCUAUCGUUAGUUGCCAUCAGGUCAUGCUGGGGACUCUAACGAGACUGCCGGUGUCAAACCGGAGGAAGGUGGGGAUGACGUCAAGUCCUCAUGGCCUUUAUGCCCAGGGCUGCACACGUGCUACAAUGCGGCGGACAGAGCGACGCGAUACGGUAACGUGGAGCAAAUCGCACAAACCGCCGCCCAGUUCGGAUUGUGGUCUGCAACUC
RNAcentral lists this ribosomal RNA (708 nucleotides) under uncultured Planctomycetota bacterium. RNAcentral's name for it is "uncultured planctomycete partial 16S ribosomal RNA". It matches the Rfam family "Bacterial small subunit ribosomal RNA", at positions 612 to 1313 of the family's 1533-position model. Lineage: Bacteria; Pseudomonadati; Planctomycetota. The record is from RNAcentral.